AAACUUUCAACAACGGAUCUCUUGGCUCUGGCAUCGAUGAAGAACGCAGCGAAAUGCGAUAAGUAAUGUGAAUUGCAGAAUUCAGUGAAUCAUCGAAUCUUUGAACGCACAUUGCGCCCGCUAGCACUCUAGCGGGCAUGCCUGUCCGAGCGUCAUUU
Molecule: ribosomal RNA, 158 nt
Filed under: Stachybotrys parvispora
Lineage: Eukaryota; Fungi; Ascomycota; Sordariomycetes; Hypocreales; Stachybotryaceae
Also listed under: 2 other names
Description: 5.8S ribosomal RNA
Rfam family: 5.8S ribosomal RNA
About the family: 5.8S ribosomal RNA (5.8S rRNA) is a component of the large subunit of the eukaryotic ribosome. It is transcribed by RNA polymerase I as part of the 45S precursor that also contains 18S and 28S rRNA.
Source: RNAcentral